UUUCUUCCCUUUUACAUUAUUUUAUUAAGCUGUUCGUUCUAUUCUAAUUGGACCAAAACCAUAGCCAAUUAAAGGGCUUUUACAUCAAUCCUAUCGAAGACUUAGCCGACUUUGUAUAGUUAUAAAUAGAAACCCAGGGCUGUAGAGCGGUGCAGUCUGUGUACCGAGUAAGGACCAGAGACCGGAACUGAGAGAGGGCGGUGGAAUCCAUUCGACUCAACCUGUAUCUCGUUGUGUAUGGGCAUUGGCGGAUCCACAGUGGGGUCGUCGGGGUCGCACGACCUCUUGGAAACCAUGGAAACAACCUUGAAGCUCCCAUAUGCGACCUCUUGGAGCUGGGGUCGUCGGGGUCGGAGGCACGCCAACUGUUCGACAAAAGCCCUGAACGAAAACUGGGCAGGAAGAGGAAGAAGAAGCAGCCCAGUCAAAUGAGCUUGGUUGUGUGCUUGGUUGCAUGCCUGUUUUUGUCAAGUGAAUGAUAUUUAUACACAUUGGCGGAUCCACAGUGGGGUCGUCGGGGUCGCACGACCUCUUGGAAACCAUGGAAACAACCUUGAAGCUCCCAUAUGCGACCUCUUGGAGCUGGGGUCGUCGGGGUCGGAGGCACGCCAACUGUUCGACAAAAGCCCUGAACGAAAACUGGGCAGGAAGAGGAAGAAGAAGCAGCCCAGUCAAAUGAGCUUGGUUGUGUGCUUGGUUGCAUGCCUGUUUUUGUCAAGUGAAUGAUAUUUAUACAUGCUACUUUUUAUAACUCUAUCCAGUUUAAUUGGUCUUUCUGAUAAAGAAAUGAUAGGGGUUGGAGGAGUGCUA
Molecule: long non-coding RNA, 810 nt
Organism: Malus domestica (apple)
Lineage: Eukaryota; Viridiplantae; Streptophyta; Magnoliopsida; Rosales; Rosaceae
Source: RefSeq, a predicted model, not a curated record